This 579-nucleotide ribosomal RNA is filed under the name uncultured bacterium. RNAcentral's name for it is "bacterial SSU rRNA". It matches the Rfam family "Bacterial small subunit ribosomal RNA", at positions 102 to 677 of the family's 1533-position model. The record is from RNAcentral.
ACGGGUGAGUAAUGUCUGGGAAACUGCCUGAUGGAGGGGGAUAACUACUGGAAACGGUAGCUAAUACCGCAUAACGUCGCAAGACCAAAGAGGGGGACCUUCGGGCCUCUUGCCAUCAGAUGUGCCCAGAUGGGAUUAGCUAGUAGGUGGGGUAACGGCUCACCUAGGCGACGAUCCCUAGCUGGUCUGAGAGGAUGACCAGCCACACUGGAACUGAGACACGGUCCAGACUCCUACGGGAGGCAGCAGUGGGGAAUAUUGCACAAUGGGCGCAAGCCUGAUGCAGCCAUGCCGCGUGUAUGAAGAAGGCCUUCGGGUUGUAAAGUACUUUCAGCGGGGAGGAAGGCGACAAGGUUAAUAACCUUGUCGAUUGACGUUACCCGCAGAAGAAGCACCGGCUAACUCCGUGCCAGCAGCCGCGGUAAUACGGAGGGUGCAAGCGUUAAUCGGAAUUACUGGGCGUAAAGCGCACGCAGGCGGUCUGUCAAGUCGGAUGUGAAAUCCCCGGGCUCAACCUGGGAACUGCAUUCGAAACUGGCAGGCUAGAGUCUUGUAGAGGGGGGUAGAAUUCCAGGUGUA